UAAAAUAACUAAAGAAACACAACGUAAACGCACAAGAACAAGCCAAUUAAGUCGCAUAAAUAUGCUCCUAUCAUCGAGGCUUGAUCUUGAAUGAGGAUUUGAUGAAGAACGAAAAGGGCUUUCUUGAUCCUUCGGGAUUUGCUUGAGAGUUUCGGAGUUUCAGAGCUUCAGAGCUUCAAGGUGUAAUAUGAAUUCCUCCCCCAAAUGAAUGAAAUUGGCUUCUAUUUAUAGAAUUUUCCAAGGCCUAAUUUUGAAUAUAAUAUUCCAGAUGAAAUAAGUCGUUUAUGUCAGGUGUUGACACGUGUCCUGUUUGAUGACUUUUCCGAUGAUUCUCGAUUUUUUGUUUAGACACACGCUACGUGUAAAAUUUAUGUAAUACAUGAGCGCUGAAACUUUGAUUUAUCGGUUAACAUUUAUUUACCGAAAUUUCGAUGUCUACAAAUGCCCCCACUUCAAGGCGUGUCGUAUACAUGUGCUUGUCAUGUGUAGGAGAUGUGUUUUGAAGUCCCUUAUUGUAGAUGUCGAUCCAAGGGCCGUUGGGGCUUGAUCUUGAAUUGGGCUGGAAAUUUCUUCAAUGGCCGUUAAGGCUUGAUCUUGAAUUGGGUUGGAGAUUUCUUCAAGGGCCGUCGAGACUUGAUCUUGAAGGUUGAAAUUUGGACCACAAGGAGCUUCAUGUGGUAGAUGAUCUUUGGCUUUGGUAGUGGAUGAAUCGGCACGUAUUUUGUUGCGCUUGUUGACUUUCCACAGCUUUGAUCUUGAACUGGGUUGGAGGAUUUUCUAGAUUCCUCCAAUUGUUAGUUUUCCACAGCUUAUUCUUGAACUGGAUUUG
RNAcentral lists this long non-coding RNA (829 nucleotides) under Malus domestica (apple). Its description in RNAcentral is "long non-coding RNA (MDOM_LNC018989)". The record is from RNAcentral. Lineage: Eukaryota; Viridiplantae; Streptophyta; Magnoliopsida; Rosales; Rosaceae.